AGUGAACGCUGGCGGUAGGCCUAACGCAUGCAAGUCGAACGGCAGCACAGUAAGAGCUUGCUCUUACGGGUGGCGAGUGGCGGACGGGUGAGGAAUACAUCGGAAUCUACUUUUUCGUGGGGGAUAACGUAGGGAAACUUACGCUAAUACCGCAUACGACCUACGGGUGAAAGCAGGGGAUAUUCGGACCUUGCGCGAUUGAAUGAGCCGAUGUCGGAUUAGCUAGUUGGCGGGGUAAAGGCCCACCAAGGCGACGAUCCGUAGCUGGUCUGAGAGGAUGAUCAGCCACACUGGAACUGAGACACGGUCCAGACUCCUACGGGAGGCAGCAGUGGGGAAUAUUGGACAAUGGGCGCAAGCCUGAUCCAGCCAUACCGCGUGGGUGAAGAAGGCCUUCGGGUUGUAAAGCCCUUUUGUUGGGAAAGAAAAGCAGCAGGUUAAUACCCCGCUGUUCUGACGGUACCCAAAGAAUAAGCACCGGCUAACUUCGUG
RNAcentral lists this ribosomal RNA (492 nucleotides) under uncultured bacterium. RNAcentral describes it as "partial 16S ribosomal RNA". It matches the Rfam family "Bacterial small subunit ribosomal RNA", at positions 29 to 507 of the family's 1533-position model. The record is from RNAcentral.